CAAGGCCCAGAGAAAUUAAGGAAAACUGCCUAAGGCCACACAGCAAGUAAGUGAAGGAACCAGAAAUAGAAGUCAAGGGCACCUGGUCCAUUACUCUAACCUCUAACUAUGUUGCUUUCCCCAGGAGUCCACCAAUUAGUGGGAACAGCUCUUACUGACUAAUGGAUGGUUAACUUUACAAGUGGAAUGAUUUUUACAAAUGAGCUACAAUAUGACUUUUUAAGAUUCCUUCAACAUCAGGAUUCCCGAUCAUCUCAUCAACCGACUUGUUAAGAAAACUGAGGCCCAGGGAAGUGGCUCACAAUUGUGUAGAAUUGUGAGGUGUCUUGACUGCUGGGCCAGGACUGAAGGACGUACGCCCUCUCCCGGAAUCGUCUCAGCUACAGAGAACCACCUUGCCCAAGGUCACCACCCUCUUGCCAAGGGGGUCACUUGGAUCUAAUGAUUGGUUAAUGCUGGGGGGAGGGGGUAAGUCUUGGCCCCCAGCCUCAACAGUGAUGGCGGUGGCUCCGGGGUCAUCCUAGCUUCCGAGUUUCGUCUAGGUUGAGGGCGCCAUGUUGGGACUGCAUCAGCUUCUCUCUCUGCCUGGUUCUGCUUCCUUUACUUUACCAUUUGUUGUUAGUCCAGGGCACACCCCAGUAAACUUCCUGCAUGCGAGUUCAUCUUAGACUGCUUCCCAGGGAAUCGUAUGUACAACACUCGGGAGUAGAGAGUCACUGAAACGGCCCUAGCUCUGAGAGACCCCUCCUGACCAGCCAUCACCCCUCCCGCUCUUCCUUACUCUGAUUUAUUGUCUUCGUAGAAUUUAACUCUCAGGUCUAUGGCCAUACUGCCCUGAAUGCGCCUGAUCUUGUCUGAUUUCAGAAGCUAAGCAGGGUCGUGCCCGGUUAGUACUUGGAUGGGAGAAUUUAGUGCUCGAACACUAUUGCUGUAGCUUUCUUUAAUAAAUAAAUUUGACUGCC
This 962-nucleotide long non-coding RNA is filed under the name Homo sapiens (human). Lineage: Eukaryota; Metazoa; Chordata; Mammalia; Primates; Hominidae. The record is from RNAcentral.